UCGACAUCUACACCAUUUUCAUAUAAUAUAGGUGAAGAAAUUUCAUCAAUCUCCGCAUCUUUCCUAUAUAAUGAAAGGGGAUAUGGUAGUCAUGCUACAUAGCAUGACAAUGUUCUUGAUCAAGGGAAAAUUAGAGAUGAUGACGGCCCUUAAAUGUUAUUGCCGAUGUCAUAGACUAGUCAGAAGUUGCGUUAUUGGUCAUUAAUCAAUUUAAAGUUUCAAAAUGUUGGUUCUACUUAUCGAUUGAAGGACGUUGUAAACUUGCAUUAUGACAUGACAUGCAAGAGAACAAGCAUUAGCUAUUGUGUUAGGAAGAUGCCGUCAGAGUUAUACAAAUUUUUUUAUUUUCAAGGGUUCUUAUAACAAUUUGUAUAACUCUUAUGACGACCCUUAACAAUAGCUAAUUAACAUUUGUUCUUUUGUCUUCCUAGUCUUGUAAUAACUCAAGUUCAUACUGAAUAAAGAAAUUAAUUAAGUACGAUCAA
Cucurbita pepo subsp. pepo (vegetable marrow) is the source of this 485-nucleotide non-coding RNA. The record is from RefSeq and is a predicted model, not a curated record. Lineage: Eukaryota; Viridiplantae; Streptophyta; Magnoliopsida; Cucurbitales; Cucurbitaceae.